CGCGGUGGAUACGUUCCCGGGCCUUGUACACACCGCCCGUCAAGCCACGGAAGCCGAGGGCGCCUGAAGUCGGGGGAUUAAAUCCCUGCCGAGGGCGAAAUGGGUAACUGGGGCU
This 115-nucleotide ribosomal RNA is filed under the name uncultured bacterium. Its description in RNAcentral is "partial 16S ribosomal RNA". It matches the Rfam family "Bacterial small subunit ribosomal RNA", at positions 1358 to 1482 of the family's 1533-position model. The record is from RNAcentral.